GCGCCAGUGGUGUACGGAACACACAUCGGCCUAAUAAAGAACCAAAUCUGUUCAACCUUACGGCGGUGAGACGGGGUUCGAUUCCCCGCUGGUGGA
Non-coding RNA from Mycena vulgaris, 96 nucleotides. The record is from the annotation of a GenBank genome assembly. NCBI's taxonomy places the organism in Eukaryota, Fungi, Basidiomycota, Agaricomycetes, Agaricales, Mycenaceae.